UCUCUCUGUGUCUCUGUCUCUGUGUGUCUCUCCGUGUAUCUCUCUCUCUCCAUGUGUCUCUCAGUGUCUCUGUGUGUCUCUCUGUGUCUCUGUCUCUAUGUGUCUCUCUGUGUCUCUGUCUCUGUGUGUCUCUCCGUGUAUCUCUCUCUCUCCAUGUGUCUCUCAGUGUCUCUGUGUGUCUCUCUGUGUCUCUGUCUCUAUGUGUCUCUCUGUGUCUCUGUCUCUGUGUGUCUCUCUGUGUCUCUGUGUCUCUGUCUCUGUGUGUCUCUGUGUGUCUCUCUGUGUCUCUGUCUCUGUGUGUCUCUGUGUGUCUCUCUGUGUCUCUGUCUCUGUGUGUCUCUCUGUGUCUCUGUCUCUGUGUCUCUCUGUGUCUCUGUCUCUGUGUGUCUCUCUGUGUCUCUGUCUCUGUGUGUCUCUGUGUGUCUCUCUGUGUCUCUGUCUCUGUGUCUCUCUGUGUCUCUCUGUGUCUCUGUGUGUCUCUCAGUGUCUCUGUGUGUCUCUCUGUGUCUCUGUCUCUGUGUGUCUCUCUGUGUCUCUGUCUCUAUGUGUCUCUCUGUGUCUCUGUCUCUGUGUGUCUCUCUGUGUCUCUGUCUCUGUGUGUCUCUCUGUGUCUCUGUCUCUGUGUGUCUCUCCGUGUAUCUCUCUCUCUCCAUGUGUCUCUCCGUGUCUCUGUGUGUCUCUCUGUGUCUGUGUCUCUGUGUGUCUCUCUGUGUCUCUGUCUCUGUGUGUCUCCGUGUAUCUCUCUCUCUCCGUGUGUCUCUCUCUCUCUGUCUCUUUCUCUUUUGGUUGGACAGGUUUCUCAAUUUCUUUCUUCAUCAAACCAUUUGUUUUUGGUUUUCUGUUUGAAUUGUUUAGAUUUGAUUGGGAAGCUGAGAGGUCAAAUAUACUGUCUAGAUUUGAUUGGGAAGCUGAGAGGUCAAAUAUACUGUCUAGGUUUUCUACUGCCAAGUUGAGGGCAAUGUCCUUUAGGGUCCGGGCGAAGGUGGGCUCUUCUGCCUUGUAUAGGUGGACCUGGUCAUAAAGGCUGGUCAAGUCCAGGGUGGAGUGGUGGGCCAGGGUGGAGUGGUGGGCAAGGGUGGAGUGAUGGGCCAGGGUGGAGUGGUGGGCCAGGGUGGAGUGAUGGGCCAGGGUGGAGUAAUGGGCCAGGGUGGAGUGGUGGACCAGGGUGGAGUGAUGGGCCAGGGUGGAGUGGUGGGCCAGGGUGGAGUGGUGGGCCAGGGUGGAGUGGUGGG
RNAcentral lists this long non-coding RNA (1232 nucleotides) under Oncorhynchus mykiss (rainbow trout). RNAcentral describes it as "lncRNA (ENSOMYG00000067671.1)". Lineage: Eukaryota; Metazoa; Chordata; Actinopteri; Salmoniformes; Salmonidae. The record is from RNAcentral.